RNAcentral lists this ribosomal RNA (253 nucleotides) under uncultured bacterium. RNAcentral's name for it is "partial 16S ribosomal RNA". It matches the Rfam family "Bacterial small subunit ribosomal RNA", at positions 524 to 776 of the family's 1533-position model. The record is from RNAcentral.
GACGAGGGAUCCUAGCGUUGUUCGGAAUCAUUGGGCGUAAAGAGUAUGUAGGCGGCUUUGUAAGUCAGUUGUGAAAUCCCCGGGCUCAACCCGGGAAGUGCAAAUGAUACUGCUAAGCUUGAAUUUGGAAGAGGGUAGUGGAAUUCCUGGUGUAGUGGUGAAAUACGUAGAUAUCAGGAGGAACACCGGUGGCGAAGGCGGCUACCUGGUCCUAAAUUGACGCUGAGAUACGAAAGCAUGGGGAUCAAACAGG